RNAcentral lists this transfer RNA (89 nucleotides) under Nostoc sp. TH1S01. Its description in RNAcentral is "tRNA-Ser". It matches the Rfam family "tRNA". From Rfam's summary of the family: Transfer RNA (tRNA) molecules are approximately 80 nucleotides in length. Their secondary structure includes four short double-helical elements and three loops (D, anti-codon, and T loops). Lineage: Bacteria; Bacillati; Cyanobacteriota; Cyanophyceae; Nostocales; Nostocaceae. The record is from RNAcentral.
GGAGAGGUGGCAGAGUGGUUGAAUGCGGCGCACUCGAAAUGCGUUAACAGGCUCAAACCUGUUCGGGGGUUCAAAUCCCCCCCUCUCCG